Molecule: ribosomal RNA, 415 nt
Filed under: uncultured bacterium
Lineage: Bacteria
Description: bacterial SSU rRNA
Rfam family: Bacterial small subunit ribosomal RNA
Source: RNAcentral
UGGGGAAUAUUGCGCAAUGGGGGAAACCCUGACGCAGCAACGCCGCGUGCGGGAUGAAGGCCUUCGGGUUGUAAACCGCUUUACAGCAGGGACGAUAAUGACGGUACCUGCAGAAGAAGCCCCGGCUAACUACGUGCCAGCAGCCGCGGUAAUACGUAGGGGGCAAGCGUUAUCCGGAUUCAUUGGGCGUAAAGCGCGCGCAGGCGGGUUGCUAAGCGGGACCUCUAAUCUUGGGGCUCAACCUCAAGCCGGGUCCCGAACUGGCAGCCUCGAGUGCGGUAGGGGUAAGCGGAAUUCCCGGUGUAGCGGUGGAAUGCGCAGAUAUCGGGAAGAACACCGAUGGCGAAGGCAGCUUACUGGGCCGUCACUGACGCUGAGGCGCGAAAGCUAGGGGAGCGAACAGGAUUAGAUACCC